UCUAUUAGUCAUAUCACCAUGAAUGUGCCCUAUCUCAUCUGAUCUUAUGAACUUAAGCAGGGUCAGGCCUGAUUAGUGCUUGGAAGGGUGACUUCCAAGCACUAAUCAGGAAUUCCUCGGA
This is a ribosomal RNA of Rhinopithecus bieti (black snub-nosed monkey), 121 nucleotides long. The record is from Ensembl. NCBI's taxonomy places the organism in Eukaryota, Metazoa, Chordata, Mammalia, Primates, Cercopithecidae.